CUGGCUCAGGAUGAACGCUAGCGACAGGCCUAACACAUGCAAGUCGAGGGGCAGCACAAGGAGCAAUCUGAGGUGGCGACCGGCGCACGGGUGAGUAACACGUAUGCAACCUGCCUGUAAGCGGGGAAUAACCCGUUGAAAGACGGACUAAUACCGCAUAAUACUAAAUUACUGCAUGGUAAUUUAUUUAAACAUUUAUGGCUUACAGAUGGGCAUGCGCAUGAUUAGCUAGUUGGAGAGGUAACGGCUCCCCAAGGCAACGAUCAUUAGGGGUUCUGAGAGGAAGGUCCCCCACACUGGUACUGAGACACGGACCAGACUCCUACGGGAGGCAGCAGUGAGGAAUAUUGGUCAAUGGACGAGAGUCUGAACCAGCCAAGUCGCGUGCAGGAAGAAUGUCCUAUGGAUUGUAAACUGCUUUUGCAGGGGAAUAAAGUGCAUCACGUGUGAUGUUUUGUAUGUACUCUGCGAAUAAGGAUCGGCUAACUCCGUGCCAGCCGCCGC
RNAcentral lists this ribosomal RNA (504 nucleotides) under uncultured bacterium. RNAcentral's name for it is "bacterial SSU rRNA". It matches the Rfam family "Bacterial small subunit ribosomal RNA", at positions 19 to 518 of the family's 1533-position model. The record is from RNAcentral.